Molecule: ribosomal RNA, 465 nt
Filed under: uncultured bacterium
Lineage: Bacteria
Description: partial 16S ribosomal RNA
Rfam family: Bacterial small subunit ribosomal RNA
Source: RNAcentral
GACGAACGCUGGCGGCGUGCUUAACACAUGCAAGUCGAACGGAAAGGCCCCUUUGGGGGUACUCGAGUGGCGAACGGGUGAGUAACACGUGAGUAACCUGCCCUUGACUUCGGGAUAACUUCAGGAAACUGGGGCUAAUACCGGAUAGGAAUCCUUGCUGCAUGGUGGGGGUUGGAAAGCUUCGGCGGUUUUGGAUGGACUCGCGGCUUAUCAGCUUGUUGGUGGGGUAGUGGCUUACCAAGGCUUUGACGGGUAGCCGGCCUGAGAGGGCGACCGGCCAACUUGGGACCUAGAUUAGGCCCCAGCUUCCAAGGGAGGGAACCGGGGGGAAUAUUGCAACAUGGGCGGAAGGCCGAUGCCGGAACGCCGCGGGGCGGAAUACCGGCCUUGGGGUGUAAACCGCUUUUCGCAGGGGCGAAGCUUGUGGUGACGGUACCUGCAGAAGAAGCACCGGCUAACUACGUG